Molecule: long non-coding RNA, 1471 nt
Filed under: Zea mays
Lineage: Eukaryota; Viridiplantae; Streptophyta; Magnoliopsida; Poales; Poaceae
Description: long non-coding RNA (ZMAY_LNC002137)
Source: RNAcentral
UUGGUGUAUAUAUGCAUACAUCGUGACAUUCUGUGGCCAUAGAUUGAGAGAGCAAGAACCUUGGGUCGCCGAGCCGUGCACCUGGAUAGAGGGUGAGGUAGCCGCUGAGAAAGAGAACAUUAGUCGUCAUCAUCAUUGUACGUCUAUACCGCCGACCGAGCCCUGAUCGAUAGCUCCAAGCAUUCACCAAAGAGGGGUCACAAGAAUGCCAAUGCUAAUGCCUCACCCUAAAUCCUAAUCCACAGAAGGAUCCAUCUCCUAGGUGUCGGAGUGACCGGAAGAGUGACAUCCUAAUGGUGGUACUGGAUCUGCCCCCUUUUCUACAGGACAGCGGUGGGAGGCGACGUCAGUAAGGACCAGAUCCAUCUCCACUACUGCAGGGAGAAGGUAUGAACUCCUAUUCCCCUCUGCGGUCGUGUUUUAUGUGCACUGAUCCAAGAUGGAUUAGUUCCCUGUUAUCUUCUAAAGUAAUCUCGGAGUUCUAAGUAUACACAGUUAGAUCCCUAAUUUCUAUCAGAUAUAUGUUGCUCUGUUUAUCUUUAUACACUUUCCUCCUUGAUAGCCUCUUUUCGGGCAAACCAUGUGAAGCAACUUGGCUUUUAUUCAGUCUUGUAGCAUCAACUUUUGAUGUUCACACUUUUUGGUCAUGCAGUUUCUCUUUCUACCUGGUUGAUUACCCGCACCAUUCCAUCCUGAAUCAUCGCGUGCGUUGACUUUUCUGUACACGAGGAACGAUUACUGCAUGAGUGGAUGCAAAAUAAGUCGUUUUGAGGCCAUCCACCUGCAUCUGUAUAUACGCCAGAUAUGGUCGUACCUGGCCGGCCAGGCUCGCGUGGGACUGGCUGUGCGGGCGCAGUAAACCAAUCAGGCACUUUGUGUUCGGGGUCACUUGGCUAAUGUAGCUAAAAACUGCAGAUUUUACGGCAAACUUCAUGAGGUGUCAGUGCUUAACUGCUUAAGUUAGAGUGCUACCUUUAGAGUGCAAUGGAGUGUCAUCUGCACAAAUGAUCUAUAGUGUGGUUAUAACAAUGUAAACUGCAGAGUUUCAUGAUUAGAAAUAAAUAAAGGAACCACAAAAUCAAGGGAUCAUACACUUUGCCGAGGUCAUGUGCACAAGGGAUUUUUUUUUUUUGAUACGAGGGCAUCACCAUUUAUAUUACUUUCAUAACAGAAAUGCAUCACAGUUCACCAAAGAGUACCUGACCGACAGACGGACAACCUCCGACAAAAGACGGCAACCAGAAACCUGAAGUUUCGCCAAGAGUUGUCUAGACAGCCUCUGAUUCAGGGAGCCAGCACGCAGGACAAAAUGGGCCAUCAAGUUCAACGGGCAUUAACCCACCAACAUAUAUAGUAGAGUAAUACAGCUACUGCUCAAGGACUCAUGCAGGAGCCAAAAGCAUAAAAAACUACGAUCGAAUCCAAGCAGGCAGCAACAUUUUGUUCCUCGCUUUCCAAAUCGCCCAGCAAA